AGCGAACGCUGGCGGUAGGCCUAACACAUGCAAGUCGAACGGCAGCACAGUAAGAGCUUGCUCUUACGGGUGGCGAGUGGCGGACGGGUGAGGAAUACAUCGGAAUCUACUUUUUCGUGGGGGAUAACGUAGGGAAACUUACGCUAAUACCGCAUACGACCUCCGGGGGAAAGCAGGGGAUCUUCGGACCUUGCGCGUUUGAAUGGGCCGAUGUCGGAUUAGCUAGUUGGCGGGGUAAAGGGCAACCAAGGCGGCGAUCCGUAGCUGGUCUGAGAGGAUGAUCAGCCACACUGGAACUGAGACACCGUCCCGACUCCUGCGGGAGGCAGCAGUGUGGAAUAGUGGACAGUGGUCGCAAGCCUGAUCCAGCCAUACCACGUGGGUGAAGAAGGCCUUCGGGUUGUAAUGCCCUUUUGUUGGGAGAGAAAAGCAGCAGGUUAAUACCCCGCUGUACUGACGGUACCCAAAGAAUAAGCACCGGCUAACUUCGUG
Molecule: ribosomal RNA, 492 nt
Filed under: uncultured bacterium
Lineage: Bacteria
Description: partial 16S ribosomal RNA
Rfam family: Bacterial small subunit ribosomal RNA
Source: RNAcentral